Molecule: long non-coding RNA, 7670 nt
Filed under: Medicago truncatula (barrel medic)
Lineage: Eukaryota; Viridiplantae; Streptophyta; Magnoliopsida; Fabales; Fabaceae
Description: long non-coding RNA (MTRU_LNC005516)
Source: RNAcentral
AAGCCAUAGCUCGAAGCUUUUGUUUCGAACUUCAAAACCUCACUCAUGGCACUCUUUAACACCACCUGAUAGAGAUUUGGCAAGUGAACCAAAAUUAUCGAAGUAAUAAAUAAGAUCGAAUCCACAAGGACCGUUGUUAAUUUCUACUCAGCAAUUUCGUUAUCGAAAGGAUGUAUUAAAUUCAAUGGUUUGCCCUAGGCAGUUGGAUUGGUUUUUAUAAAGUAAACGUAAAUAAAACAAUAAAAGUUGGUUUUAUGAAUAUUAGAGAGAAGUAUGGUUAAGACCUUCGAAUCCUCCGAAGUUCUCCUAUGGUAAUUCGCACUCCUACUUCAAUCAAUGAUUAUCUAGUUCAACGACAGAUUAACAAAUUAACUCUACCCAAUCUCUUGACCUAGAGUUCUCCCCGCAAGUAACAACCCCUUAAUCUCUUAAGUGAAUUCGAAACCAUUGGAGGUUUUAACAGAACGUUAAUCCCUAUGUCAUAACCUAAUAAUGAUCUAUCUCUAGCUUGAUUACUUAGGUUAAACUUAUUACCUAGAUCAGAGUCAAAAGCCAGGAUUAGUGGUCAUUCAAUCUCUAACAUCAAUUUGCAUAUUCAUAAAGCUAGGGUUAGUAGUCAAUGAUAAACAAUAUAAAAAGCAUUAAACACAAAGUAAUAUGAAUAAAAACUAGACUUUCAUUGACAUUCAAAGAGUUCAACAAAUUAGAGUUCCCACAAGAUUACAUCAAAUUCAUCUAAGUCUCAGCCACAAAGAAAAUUUAGGUAGACAUGAUUAAAAGAAUAAACAACAUAAUAAAGAAAAUAAACGAAUUUCGUUGCCGUAGGCGUUGCUCCUCAGUUUAUAUCCAACGGUGCUGUUGUUCUCUUCUAAUUUCCAUGUGCUUCCUUGCAUGAUGUGUGCGACUUCUAUGGUUCCAAAACCGUGAUUCAAUUCUCUCCAAAACGUGAAUGAAUUUCCUCCUUUAUGUUGUGACUUUUAUAUCAUUCAUUGCCUUCAAUUCUUCUCUCGGGUCAAACAACUUUGCUUUUGGUCAAAAGCCCAAAUUUUCAUUUAAUUAUGCAUGUAAGAUAUUUCUUCUCAUACCUUCAUUAUUUGCUAGGCUAGACAAAUGGUUCAGAACUAGUUGUUACUCAUUAAUAUGUCACCUUAUUGGACCAACAAAUAGUAAAAUAUACUACUUGACUUAAUAAAUCAAGAACGACAAUUUAUUCAAAAUUACUCUAAAUUAAAUACUAAAAUAAUAAUAAUAGACUAAAAACUUAAUUAAAAGACUCUAAAAAUAGUGAAUGACGGACCGUAAUCACCACCCAAAUUCGAACCUUCAAUCCCCUCAACCCUCAAAAACCAACACACCCUUUUCCUUCUUCCCAUCUUUCCUUCUCUUUUCCCUCUCACUUCACCUCCAAAUCCCUCAUCGCCACCACCAACAUCAACAUGCUCCAAGCUCAUUCUGGCGACUUUGAACUCUCAACUUUAACAGCUUUAUCCCCAUUAGAUGGCCGUUAUCGUCAAAAAAUGCAAGAAUUAACUCCUCUCAUGAGUGAAUAUGGUCUUAAUUACUUUAGGGUCAUUGUUGAGGUACACCCUUUUUUAUUUUCUCAUUCUUUGAUGACCCUUUUGCUUAAAGUACUCUUUAGUUUUUUCUAAUCUUUUUGAUAACUUUUGCUUAAAGAACUUUUUUUACUUUGAGAACAAGGGCAAGAUUAAAUAUAAUUUCAACUCUUCAUGAAACUACUAAGGGUGGGGUUUAGCAUGGGAAAGGUGAGUUGUUUCCCACCAUGAGAAAGAUUUUUAUGACCAUUCGAUUAAAGAGGUGUGCAUAUUUUAUAAUAGAUUGUCUAUAUUAUAUUUUUUUUCUUUCUUUUCAUAUUGUCUUCAACCCAUGAAUACCAUGAAUACCAACAUUUUAUAGAGAUCUAAAAUCCAUGCUUUACCAAAGCCUUUCCAGGUAACAUUAAUAAACCCAAAAACACAUUGAUUCUUGGCCUUUUUUUGCAAGAACCUAAAAACACAUGUAAAUAAAAAUUACCAAGUCUAAGAAUAAAAAAGUGUGGGAACAUUGAUGAACAAAAAAUCAAGUUGAAGACAAACAUCAAAAUUUGCUCACGGCAAUGGUUUUAAUUUUAUUUACUGGGUGUUUUAAGAACAUGAUGAAGAUGGAGUCAGUGGUGGUCAAUAACUGGAAUUUGAGAGGUUGUUGUUGGAGGUAUGAUGGAUGAGUAGAGUCAUGGAGGAAAGAGAAGGAUGAUGGAAGAUAAUGUAAAAAUAAUCUAGUGUUGAGGGACUAUGAUAAUAUUAUGUUCCUUACAUAAUCUAAUGGUCAUAAAAAACUUUUCCAUGAUGAGAAACAAUUCCCCUUUCCCAUGCUAAACCUCACCACUACCAAGACUUUGUUUGGAAGUUUGGAGGGGAGGGGAAAAAAAGACUUUGGAGAGUUUGAAAUAAAGGGGAAAAUGGUAAAAAUAUUUCACAUUUUUUGAAAGAGAAACUUUUUAGAGAAUGUUAAAUUAAUACUUAUGAUUACUAUAUUUUUAAUUUUAAGAAUAUUAUAACAACAUAGAUUAAAUUGAAAAUUCAUAUAGACCCUCCAAAACCCUCAUAUAAUACAAUUUUGAAUAAUAUUAGCAACACUCUAUUUUGAAUACUCUCUAGAAUAUUCACUCUCUUAUUGGUUUAAAUCAUUGUGGGUCUACAUCUUAUUGGUUUAAAUCAUUGUGGGUCUAUACUUUGAAAAUUGAACCCACACAAAUUGGUGAGAAUAUAUUGAUUUCAUUCAAUAAAAGAGUGAGCGAUAAAGAAAGUGUUGAAAAAUGAAUGUUGCUAACAUUCUUUUACAAUUUUUUAUAUUAGUUUUAUAUUAUGAAAAAAAUUAGGUGGCAUUUAGCCUGGGAAAAAAAACUGAAAACUUUUUUCCCACCAUGGAAAAGUCCAUUUUUCCAUCACAGCUGUCAGUUAUAACCGACUAUGUAAAAAAAAAAAAAAAACUCAAUUUUGUUUUUUAAUGUUAUUUGUAACAUUACUGCUGCACCUCCCAUUUUUUCACAACAACACAGGGUAUAUCUCACCCAGUUUUAGUACCGAAGCAUUAAAACAUCAAUUCUUCUUCUUAAACAUUCCAGAACAAUGCGACAUAACAAAACCCAGGAAAAAAAAAAGCUUAACAUAUCCGAAGUAUACUCUCCUACUAUUGUUCAGUUGAAAUUUCAUUUUAAACAUCAAUUCUUCUUCUUCUUCUUCUUUUGUUCGAUUACUUAAUAACUUCAACAAUGGUAGUUUUGAGGAUGCCAUAGUGUUGUAAAUAUGGAAUUGAAGAAAGAAAACAAAAUUACAGGCGGUGGAAAAUAGAAAUUGUGAAUCCAGGAAUACCCACCUACCCCUUUCUCAAAAAAUUGAAAUUGGAAAAGAGAUAAUAAAGCCAAUUGAAGGAACUACAAGGUAAAUAAAUAAAUUAAAGGCUUAAAUAAAAUUGAAGUUGGGUGAAGAAGAAGUGAACAUGGUGUUAGUGUUGGUGAUAAAAGGUAAUAAUCUUGAGGAAGAUGGUUUGGUGAUGGUGGCGACGCCGGAGAGGAUGAGGCAGGCGGCGAAGAGGAGGAGAGGAGCGAUCGGCUUGUCUGAGAAAAGCCUGAGGAUGGUGGUGGCUGGUGUGGAUGGAGGAUGCGGUGGUGGUGGGGUGAAAGAGAGUGGUCGUAAGUUCAGAGAGAGAGAGAGAAGAGGAGGAUGAAAGAAAGUGUGUUGGGGAUGCGAGAUUACCAAAAUAGCCCUAAUGCUGAAACAAUUUUUUAAAGCCCAUAAAUUAAUAAAAAAACAAAUAAAUCAAUAAAACAAAUGAUAAAUUGUUGUUUAAUCAAUGGUGGGGUCGGCUUUUUUUUUUUUUUUUCCACCAUGUAACCAUAAAAAAGUUACAACAAUUACCAAGUCAUAGAUCUAAGCCAUUCAAAUAAAAAACUAUUAAAUCAAUGAUUGUGGUUAAACUUUCUCAUGAUGGGAAAAAACUUUCCUUUCCUAUGUUAAACCCCACCAGAAAAUUAACCCCCCAAAACUCUUUUCUCCCAUUUUCUUCUAUUUCUUGCACUUGUUCAUUACUUUUUUUUUCUUCUAAAAUCACCCCCUCUAUUUUCCUCUAAACUCGCAAACAAGGCCUAAGUAACCAAAUUUUAAUUCAUAGAAACACAAUAUUCAUACUCAAACCACGUUUAAAAAAGAAGAGAAAGUAAUUUUACAUUCUCUCUCUGUUUUUUUUUACAAAAUUUUACUCUUCUUUACUCACUAUUAAAACUUUACCCAAAUUUGUUAAAAAAAAAAACUUUACCCACUUAGUUAAAAAAAAAGUAAAUGAUUAUUUGGGUCUUUGACUCUACACCUCGUUGUUACAAAGUUCUUUGACUCAAGAUUAAAUAAAGUAGUCCCUAUCCUAAAUGUGCAAUUAUGUUAUCAGUUUAGUCCUUAGCAUUAAAAUUUUAUGUUAACUGAUGAGGUGAUGUGUAUGAGGUGUCAGAUAGAGUGAAAGUAUAAAAUAAUCACUUUAAUCCUUGAAACCGAAAAUUAAUAUUCCUAAGAUGAAUCUCAAAUUCCUAAUGUCCGAAUCCUUAAAUCCCUAAAUUUGAUCUAAUUCCCUCCUUGUUCAAAAUUAUUUUUUGCUUUUUGGUAAUGAGUGGAGAUUUACUCAUGAAAAAAAGAAAAACACUAUCACACAACAAAGAGGAAAAACGAAAUAGGUUUGAUACUAUGGCCCUAUUUGGAUAAACAACUUAUAUUGAUGCUUAUAACAUUAGAGUUUAUAGCACUAGAGCUUACAUCAUAAGCUCUUGUAUUCAAUAAGCUCUUUAUGUUUGAAUAUGUACACUAAAAAGUACUUACGUAAAUUGAAGUGUUUGGAUGUGUUAUUAUAUAAGCAAUUAUGAAAUGAUAAAAUAUUUUUGAUUUAAAUUAGAGAAUCAAACCACAAUUUUUUUUAGAGUAAAUUACACUCCCCUCCCCUCAAAGAUGCUUGAAUUACGACCCCCUCCCCUCUUAUGUUAAAAUAUACACUCCCCUCCCCUCUUAUUCAAAACAUAUUAGAAAAUAUUCCAUUCCUCUGCUUUGAGAGAAGCUUGAAUUACAUUCCCCUCCCCUCUUAAGUUAAAAUCUACGCUUUAAUCCCUCAAUAGUUUUUUUUUUUUUUUCUAUUUAUAAAAAUCUAGCAAAAAAAUAAUCUAACACACUUCAAAGAAAAAUAGCAUUGCUGGUUCAUUUUAAUAUAAUCAAAUUUUGAAUACAUAUCUCUCUCUAUUUUUUAUUAACAAUUUCAUUAACAUAUAGUUUUAAAGCCUAUUAUAAAAUAUGAAACAACCCAAAAUAUUUAUAAAAUUACUAAAGUCGAUUAAGUAUGGUUAUUUAAAAGUGAAUUUUAUACUCUAAAUUAUAAAAUUAAUAAUAAAAGAUUUAAAUUUAAUUGUCGUUGACAUUUAGAUUAUAAAUAAACGAAUUUAUAUUAUUUAAAUGGUAUUUCAAAAUUAAAAUAUAUUAUAAAAAUAUUUAUUUAUGUUAAAAUAGAUUAAAGUGUAGCCCAUAUUUAAUUAUUAAGGGAAGGGGAUGUAAUUCAAACAUUUUAUAAGGGAGGGAAGUAUAAAUUUUACUUUUAAAGGGAGGAAAGUGUAUAUUUUAACAUAAGAGGAGAGAAGAGUGUAAUUCAAGCAUCUUUAAGGAGAGGGGAGUGUAAUUUACUUUUUUUUUUUAAGGAAUUAAACCACGAUCAUAAAGUUGUAAAAAGAACAAUAUUAAAAUAUAGUAAUAUUUUACCAUGCAUAUAAAAAAGAGUUAAAUAAGCUUUCGGUCCCUAUAAAUAUAGUCAAUUUUAUAUUUUAGUCCUCAUAAAAAAAUGACAUGUUUUGGCCCCGAUAAAAAAAUUCAGCAAAUAGUUUUAGUCUCUAUUAAAUUAAAAUUUGUUUUAAUUAUGAUUAAACUCUGAAACUUUUUAAGGUUUUUUUACAUACUUGUUUAGAACAUUAUAAUAAGUUCCUUCACAAAAAAUGUGUUCAAAAUUUGAUUUUUAAGCAAAAAAUUCACUACUUUUAUCUUGAAAUUUUGAUGUUUAAAAAAAUCAUAUUUAAUUCUUUAGAUGAUAAAAAGUUAUAAUUUUUGGGAAAAUAGUUUUUUUUAUAGUAUUCUUAACAAGUCUGUCAAAAAACUUUCAAAAAUUUAAAAGUUUAAGCAUAACUUCACAAAUUUUAAUUUAAUAAGGACAAAAACUAUGUGCUGAAAUUUUUUAUGGGAUCAAAAUAUGUCCCUUUUUAUAUUAAGAUUAAAUGAAAUUAUAUAUAUUUAUAAGGACCAAAAACUUAUUUUACCUUAUAAAAAAUCAUCAAUAUUCAAAUAGAACAAAAUAAACAUUAGAGAUGCAGAUAAAUAGUGGAAACAUCACCAUUCUUAAUAAGUGUAAUAAUCUAAUUACCCUUUAAAAAAAAUAUAACAAUGCAAAGAAAUAAUUAAACAUAGGUAAAAGUUUUAUAGUCCUAUAUCUUUGUUGAAAAAGUCUUUAUUUUCUUGUUGAUAGUUACGUCUUACGUGUGUUACUUUAUUACUUACAUAAAGAUAAAACAAAGAUAACUAUAUGGCUAAUCACAAUAAAAGAUUAAUUAUAUACAAUAAAUAAAAUACAGGUUUUGGAAAAAGUGCAGCGAGAGUCGAAGCACGUCCUCUCAUUUGUAUAAGCUGCGUAACAAGCUAUAUGUUAAGUUUAAAAUUUGAGCUUAUUAAAAUAUGACAUAAACAGUUUAUGAAAUUGUGAUAAGCUGAUUUUAUUGAUUUAUCCAAACACCUUUAAAAAAACAUAUGUUAGUAGACAAACCCACAUAAGCUUCGAAUAAGUCAAUCCAAACGGGGCCAUCAAAACUGGACAGGACAUUAAACCGAUAUAUGCAUGGGUUCGAAGUUCAAAGGUUCAAUCGGGGUCGGAUCGGGGUUCAACCAGUUUUAUAAGUUCUAUAUAAAAUAAAAUAAAAUAACAAAAUAUUCAUUAUUUAAACAAAAAUAUUUACGUUUUUGUUUUAUAAAACCUUGCCACCUUUGCUUGACAAAAAAAAAAAAAAACCUUGGCACUUUUUACUUUAGUCUAUACGUUUGGUUUUAGAUACUUUUUAAGCCCCCCUAUAUCUUUCUAGGCCCACAAAAAUUACAAUUUUAGCCUUUGGUAUGCAUAACACAGUGUGGUUCACGCUUCUUCUUUCCAAUUCACGUUUCAUUUGUUUCCUCCAGCCGAGAAUCGCCGGAAACCCAAACACCGUGGUUCACUCACUUCCUCCACCAAGCACCAGCUCGCCGGAAUCACUUCCUCCAGCAGCUCACUCUUCCUCUCGCCUCUUGUCAUCAAAUAAGGUAAGGUAAGCCAUAGCUCGAAGCUUUUGUUCCGAACUUCAAAACCUCACUCAUGGCACUCUCUAACACCACCCAAAUUCGAACCUUCAAUCCCCUCAACCCUAAAAAACCAACACACCCUUUUCCUUCUUCCCAUCUUUCCUUCUCUUUUCCCUCUCACUUCACUUCCAAAUCCCUCAUCGCCACCAGCAACACUAACAUGUUCCGACCUCAUUCCGGCGACUUUGAACUCUCUACUUUAACAGCUUUAUCUCCAUUAGACGGUCGUUAUCGUCAAAAAGUUCAAGAAUUAGCUCCUUUCAUGAGUGAAUAUGG